CUCUGGUCGAUGGAACAAUG
Molecule: small nuclear RNA, 20 nt
Filed under: Arabidopsis thaliana (thale cress)
Lineage: Eukaryota; Viridiplantae; Streptophyta; Magnoliopsida; Brassicales; Brassicaceae
Description: snRNA_01974
Source: RNAcentral